CUGGCUCAGGACGAACGCUGGCGGCGUGCCUAACACAUGCAAGUCGAGCGGAGGGGAAAGGAGCUUGCUUCUUGAACCUCAGCGGCGGACGGGUGAGUAACACGUGGGUAACCUGCCCUUGAGAGGGGGAUAACAGGUCGAAAGGCCUGCUAAUACCGCAUAACGCUAAGAAGCUGCAUGGCGUCUUAGCCAAAGGUUAAUUCCGCUCAAGGAUG
Molecule: ribosomal RNA, 215 nt
Filed under: Caloramator proteoclasticus DSM 10124
Lineage: Bacteria; Bacillati; Bacillota; Clostridia; Eubacteriales; Clostridiaceae
Description: 16S rRNA. Bacterial SSU
Rfam family: Bacterial small subunit ribosomal RNA
Source: RNAcentral